This 451-nucleotide ribosomal RNA is filed under the name uncultured bacterium. RNAcentral's name for it is "bacterial SSU rRNA". It matches the Rfam family "Bacterial small subunit ribosomal RNA", at positions 64 to 507 of the family's 1533-position model. The record is from RNAcentral.
GAGCGGUAANCAGGUGUAGCAAUACAUGCUGACGAGCGGCGAACGGGUGAGUAAUGCUUCGGAAUCUGCCCAAUGGUGGGGAAUAACCAGCCGAAAGGUUGGCUAAUACCGCAUACGCCCUACGGGGGAAAGCAGGGGAUCGCAAGACCUUGCGCCGAUGGAUGAGCCGAAGCCGGAUUAGCUAGUUGGUAGGGUAACGGCCUACCAAGGCGACGAUCCGUAGCUGGUCUGAGAGGACGACCAGCCACACUGGGACUGAGACACGGCCCAGACUCCUACGGGAGGCAGCAGUGGGGAAUAUUGGACAAUGGGGGAAACCCUGAUCCAGCGACGCCGCGUGUGUGAAGAAGGCCUGCGGGUUGUAAAGCACUUUUAGUGGGGAUGAAAAGCUCAGGGCUAAUACCUCUGAGUCUUGACCUAACCCACAGAAAAAGCACCGGCUGACUCUGUG